AACGCACGAGACCUGCGGACCUGCGGAAGGAUCAUUACCAAUUUAUCCUUUUUGCAUGGAUAAAUUUUAUCCAUAUCCACCUUGUGUGCACUAUUGAAACAUGAGUUGGCAGGUAAAAUCCGCAUUGAGGAUUUUUGCAAGUGCGAUUGAUUUGCUCUCGUGGCCUGCCAAUUUUAUUUGUCUACACACGUCUCUUAGUUUGGACUGAAAUUAUUUAUUGAUUAAAUAAAUACAACUUUC
This 240-nucleotide unclassified non-coding RNA is filed under the name soil metagenome. Its description in RNAcentral is "partial contains 5.8S ribosomal RNA, internal transcribed spacer 2, and large subunit ribosomal RNA". The record is from RNAcentral.